Molecule: non-coding RNA, 83 nt
Organism: Firmicutes bacterium ML8_F2
Lineage: Bacteria; Bacillati; Bacillota
Source: Rfam
GGGUAGGUGGCGGAGCGGUCAAACGCACGAGACUGUAAAUCUCGCGUCUUCGGACUACGGGGGUUCGAAUCCCUCCCUGCCCA